UGGUUCUGGCAUCGAUGAAGAACGCAGCGAAAUGCGAUAAGUAAUGCGAAUUGCAGAAUUCCGUGAGUCAUCGAAUCUUUGAACGCACAUUGCGCCCUUUGGCAUUCCGAAGGGCAUGCCUGUUCGAGCGUCAUUAUCAACCCUCAAGUUCGGCUUGGUGUUGGGCGCGGUGGUCAAUCACCCGCCCCAAAGACAAUGACGGCGUCCGCAAGACCCCCGGUACAAUGAGCUUUUCACUAGGCACGUACUGUGGCGGGCUCGGGGACCCGGUCGGCCUAUUUAUUUCUCAGGUUGACCUCGGAUCAGGUAGGGAUACCCGCUGA
RNAcentral lists this unclassified non-coding RNA (323 nucleotides) under uncultured fungus. Its description in RNAcentral is "partial contains 5.8S ribosomal RNA and internal transcribed spacer 2". The stretch from base 1 to 133 matches the Rfam family "5.8S ribosomal RNA", at positions 22 to 154 of the family's 154-position model. Lineage: Eukaryota; Fungi. The record is from RNAcentral.